Molecule: ribosomal RNA, 537 nt
Filed under: uncultured bacterium
Lineage: Bacteria
Description: bacterial SSU rRNA
Rfam family: Bacterial small subunit ribosomal RNA
Source: RNAcentral
AAUAGAUACCCGGGUAGUCCACGCCGUAAACGAUGAGUGCUAAGUGUUAGAGGGUUUCCGCCCUUUAGUGCUGAAGUUAACGCAUUAAGCACUCCGCCUGGGGAGUACGGCCGCAAGGCUGAAACUCAAAGGAAUUGACGGGGGGCCCGCACAAGCGGUGGAGCAUGUGGUUUAAUUCGAAGCAACGCGAAGAACCUUACCAGGUCUUGACAUCCUCUGACAACCCUAGAGAUAGGGCUUCUCCUUCGGGAGCAGAGUGACAGGUGGUGCAUGGUUGUCGUCAGCUCGUGUCGUGAGAUGUUGGGUUAAGUCCCGCAACGAGCGCAACCCUUGAUCUUAGUUGCCAUCAUUAAGUUGGGCACUCUAAGGUGACUGCCGGUGACAAACCGGAGGAAGUGGGGAUGACGUCAAAUCAUCAUGCCCCUUAUGACCUGGGCUACACACGUGCUACAAUGGACGGUACAAAGAGCUGCAAGACCGCGAGGUGGAGCUAAUCUCAUAAAACCGUUCUCAGUUCGGAUUGUAGGCUGCUAACCG